RNAcentral lists this ribosomal RNA (137 nucleotides) under uncultured bacterium. RNAcentral describes it as "partial 16S ribosomal RNA". It matches the Rfam family "Bacterial small subunit ribosomal RNA", at positions 335 to 482 of the family's 1533-position model. The record is from RNAcentral.
UUUCCUACGGGAGGCAGCAGUGGGGAAUAUUGCACAAUGGGGGAAACCCUGAUGCAGCAACGCCGCGUGAUUUAUGACGGCCUUGCGGAAAUAAACUCUUUUAUGUUCCGUGGGUGGAUCCCCGGAGCCGCAACACG